UCCAGAGAUGGAUUGGUGCCUUCGGGAACUGUGAGACAGGUGCUGCAUGGCUGUCGUCAGCUCGUGUUGUGAAAUGUUGGGUUAAGUCCCGCAACGAGCGCAACCCUUAUCCUUUGUUGCCAGCGGUCCGGCCGGGAACUCAAAGGAGACUGCCAGUGAUAAACUGGAGGAAGGUGGGGAUGACGUCAAGUCAUCAUGGCCCUUACGACCAGGGCUACACACGUGCUACAAUGGCGCAUACAAAGAGAAGCGACCUCGCGAGAGCAAGCGGACCUCAUAAAGUGCGUCGUAGUCCGGAUUGGAGUCUGCAACUCGACUCCAUGAAGUCGGAAUCGCUAGUAAUCGUGGAUCAGAAUGCCACGGUGAAUACGUUCCCGGGCCUUGUACACACCGCCCGUCACACCAUGGGAGUGGGUUGCAAAAGAAGUAGGUAGCUUAACCUUCGGGAGGGCGCUUACCACUUUGUGAUUCAUGACUGGGGUGAAGUCGUAACAAGGUAACCGUAGGGGAACCUGCGGUUGGAUCAC
Molecule: ribosomal RNA, 527 nt
Filed under: Escherichia coli
Lineage: Bacteria; Pseudomonadati; Pseudomonadota; Gammaproteobacteria; Enterobacterales; Enterobacteriaceae
Also listed under: 1 other name
Description: bacterial SSU rRNA
Rfam family: Bacterial small subunit ribosomal RNA
Source: RNAcentral